GGACUACCGGGGUAUCUAAUCCUGUUUGCUCCCCACGCUUUCGCGCCUCAGCGUCAGUCUCGGUCCAGAGCGCCGCCUUCGCCACCGGUGUUCUUCCCAAUAUCUACGAAUUUCACCUCUACACUGGGAAUUCCACGCUCCUCUCCCGAACUCCAGCCCCGCCGUCUCGCGCGCACCUCCCAGGUUGAGCCCGGGGCUUUCACACGCGACAAACAGAGCCGCCUACGCGCCCUUUACGCCCAGUGAUUCCGAACAACGCUCGCCCCCUUCGUAUUACCGCGGCUGCUGGCAC
Molecule: ribosomal RNA, 292 nt
Filed under: uncultured Alphaproteobacteria bacterium
Lineage: Bacteria; Pseudomonadati; Pseudomonadota; Alphaproteobacteria
Description: partial 16S ribosomal RNA
Source: RNAcentral